UACCCAUGAUGUGGACACUUUAAAAGUAGCCCGUUGAAUCGCUCCAAUGCUUCAAAGAAUUCUUCGUCUUCUCUUUAAGUAAACUUUGAAAUUGUACUGCGAAU
This is a small nucleolar RNA of 104 nucleotides. It matches the Rfam family "Plant small nucleolar RNA R71". Rfam says of the family: R71 is a member of the C/D box family of snoRNAs containing the C (UGAUGA) and D (CUGA) box motifs. Multiple nearly identical copies of this snoRNA have been identified in Arabidopsis, and it is thought to function as a 2'-O-ribose methylation guide for 18S ribosomal RNA. The record is from Rfam.